Molecule: non-coding RNA, 45 nt
Organism: Schistosoma curassoni
Lineage: Eukaryota; Metazoa; Platyhelminthes; Trematoda; Strigeidida; Schistosomatidae
Source: Rfam
AUCUAGCUGACGAUUAUCAAAUAGGACGAAACGCGCGUCCUGGAU